Molecule: long non-coding RNA, 262 nt
Filed under: Homo sapiens (human)
Lineage: Eukaryota; Metazoa; Chordata; Mammalia; Primates; Hominidae
Description: non-protein coding lnc-IAH1-1:1
Source: RNAcentral
AGACAAACUCUUAAUGUAAAACCACCAUCAGAGCCACCCUGGAGUUAUGGCAAGGCCACCACAGUCUCCUCCAAAGGCCACUGAUAUGGAACUGGGAACCUCCCUCCAUAGAAUGCUAAAUGGCUGAUGUGAACUUGGUUAAGGAUCUAUAAUUCUUCUUACGAAGAGGAAAGUUCUGGAAGACCAAAGAAAAUAUGUCAUGAAAUCAAGCCAUUAAGAAGUUGUGACUCCAAAAAAGUAAAAGCGUGAGCUACUGUACACA